Molecule: ribosomal RNA, 396 nt
Filed under: uncultured bacterium
Lineage: Bacteria
Description: partial 16S ribosomal RNA
Rfam family: Bacterial small subunit ribosomal RNA
Source: RNAcentral
AUACGUAGGUGACAAGCGUUAUCCGGAUUUACUGGGCGUAAAGGGCGUGUAGGCGGUCUUGCAAGUCAGAAGUGAAAUUCCUGAGCUCAACUCGGGCGCUGCUUCUGAAACUGCAGGACUUGAGUGCUGGAGGGGAUAGCGGAAUUCCUAGUGGAGCGGUAAAAUGCGUAGAUAUUAGGAGGAACACCGGUGGCGAAGGCGGCUUACUGGACUGUAACUGGCGUUGAGGCUCGAAAGCGUGGGGAGCAAACAGGAUUAGAUACCCUGGUAGUCCACGCCGUAAACGAUGACUACUAGGUGGCGGGUACCACAGGUAUUCGGUGCCGCCGCAAACGCAUUAAGUAGUCCACCUGGGGAGUACGUUCGCAAGAAUGAAACUCAAAGGAAUUGACGGGG